AGAGUUUGAUCCUGGCUCAGAUUGAACGCUGGCGGCAUGCUUUACACAUGCAAGUCGAGCGGCAGCACGGGGGCAACCCUGGUGGCGAGCGGCGAACGGGUGAGAAAUACAUCGGAACAUGCCCAGUCGUGGGGGAUAACACUUCGAAAGAAGUGCUAAUACCGCAUACGUCCUGAGGGAGAAAGGGGGGGAUCUUCGGACCUCGCGCGAUUGGAGUGGCCGAUGUCAGAUUAGCUAGUUGGUGGGGUAAAGGCCUACCAAGGCAACGAUCUGUAGCUGGUCUGAGAGGAUGAUCAGCCACACUGGGACUGAGACACGGCCCAGACUCCUACGGGAGGCAGCAGUGGGGAAUAUUGGACAAUGGGCGAAAGCCUGAUCCAGCCAUGCCGCGUGAGUGAUGAAGGCCCUAGGGUUGUAAAGCUCUUUCGCCAGGGACGAUAAUGACGGUACCUGGAUAAGAAGCCCCGGCUAACUUCGUGCCAGCAGCCGCGGUAAUACGAAGGGGGCUAGCGUUGUUCGGAUUUACUGGGCGUAAAGCGCACGUAGGCGGAUUUUUAAGUCAGGGGUGAAAUCCCAAGGCUCAACCUUGGAACUGCCUUUGAUACUGGAAGUCUCGAGUCCGGGAGAGGUGAGUGGAACUGCGAGUGUAGAGGUGAAAUUCGUAGAUAUUCGCAAGAACACCAGUGGCGAAGGCGGCUCACUGGCCCGGAACUGACGCUGAGGUGCGAAAGCGUGGAGAGCAAACAGGAUUAGAUACCCUGGUAGUCCACGCCGUAAACUAUGGAUGCUAGCCGUUGGGGAGCUUGCUCUUCAGUGGCGCAGCUAACGCUUUAAGCAUCCCGCCUGGGGAGUACGGUCGCAAGAUUAAAACUC
This 873-nucleotide ribosomal RNA is filed under the name uncultured bacterium. RNAcentral describes it as "bacterial SSU rRNA". It matches the Rfam family "Bacterial small subunit ribosomal RNA", at positions 8 to 902 of the family's 1533-position model. The record is from RNAcentral.